This 37512-nucleotide long non-coding RNA is filed under the name Hordeum vulgare. RNAcentral describes it as "long non-coding RNA (HVUL_LNC003643)". Lineage: Eukaryota; Viridiplantae; Streptophyta; Magnoliopsida; Poales; Poaceae. The record is from RNAcentral.
AAUGUAGCCUCUACGUAUUACAGUUGAAGCUUUAGAAUGAUCCUUCAUCCUAACAGGGAAAGGUGGUUUCUCAAUGUAAGCACUGGGAACAAUAGGGUCAUUAUAGGCAAUGACUUCCUCUUCAACUAGAUUGGGUUUAACUACAUUGACUUCUAAAGGAGGAUGAUAUUUAAACCACUUCUCUUUGGGGAAAUCAAUAUGAGCAGCAAAUGAUUCACACAGUGAAGCUACUAUCUCAAAGUCAAGUCCAUACUUAGUGCUAAAGUCACAAAAGGUAUUUGUUUCAACAAAGGAUUUAACACAAUCAAACUUGAAAUUCCUACCUGACUCCUUACCUUCUUAAGCUCCCAAUCUUCAGAGUUGCGUUUAAUUCUCUUCAAUAAAUUCCAUUUGAGGUCAAUAUCUCACUUCAUAAAAGAACCGGUACAAGAAGUGUCAAGCAUGGUGCAAUCAUCAUGAGAAAACCGAGCAUAGAAGUUCUGAAUGAUAAUUUCUCUCGAGAGCUCAUGAUUGGGGCAUGAAUAUAACAUUGAUUUAAGCCUCCCCCAAGCUUGAGCGAUGAUUUCUCUGUCACGAGGCCAAAAAUUAUAAAUAUAAUUCCGAUCACGAUGUACUAAAUGCAUAGGAUAAAACUUUUGAUGAAAUUCUAAUUUCAACCGAUUGUAGUCCCAUGAUCCAGUAUCAUCACAUAGCCUAUACCAUGUCAACGCCUUAUCCUUCAAAGAUAAAGGAAAGACCUUGUUCUUGACCUCAUCCUUGGGCAAACCUGCAAGCUUAAAUAAACCACAAACUUCAUCUACAUAGAUUAGAUGCAUGUCUGGAUGUGAUGUUUCAUCUCCUGUAAAAGGAUUAGCCAGCAGUUUCUCAAGCAUACCCAAAGGAAAUUCAAAGCAAAUUUUUUCAGUAGGUCCAGCAGGUUGAGGAGCAACUCCUUGUGCUUCCGUUCAAGGUGAAGAUACCCCGAACAAGCCCUUCAAAGCAAAUUUCAGCACACUAUAUUAAUGUUUCCUUACCAAUUUCCACUUACCAAAGGCACUUCACUCCCCGGCAAUGGUGCCAGAAAAGAGUCUUGAUGACCCACAAGUAUAGGGGAUCAAUCGUAGUCCUUUCGAUAAGUAAGAGUGUCGAACCUAACGAGGAGCAGAAGGAUCUGACAAGUGGUUUUCAGCAAGGUAAAAUCUGCAAGCACUGAAAUUAUCGGUAACAAGUAGUUGUGUGGUGAGAUGAUUCGUAGCAAGCAACAAGUAACAAAAGUAGCAACGGUGCAAGAAAGUGUCCCAAUCCCUUUUGUAGCAAGGGACAAGCCUGGGCAAAGUCUUAUAGGAGGAAAAGCGCUCCUGAGGACACACAGGAAUUUCUGUCAUGCUAGUUUUCAUCAUGUUCAUAUGAUUCGUGUUCGUUACUUUGAUAGUUUGAUAUGUGGGUGGACCGGAGCUUGGGUACUGCCCUUAUUUGGACAAGCAUCCCACUUAUGAUUAACCCCUCUCACAAGCAUCCGCAACUACGACAGAAGAAUUAAGACAAAGUCUAACCAUAGCAUUAAACUAGUGGAUCCAGAUCAGCCCCUUACGAAGCAACACAUAAACUAGGGUUUAAGAUUCUGUCACUCUAGCAACCCAUCAUCUACUUACUACUUCACAGUGCCUUCUUCUAGGCUCAAAUAAUGGUGAAGUGUUAUGUAGUCGACGUUGACAUAACACCACUAGACGAAAAACAACAUACAACACAUCAAAUUACCGAACGAAUACCAAAUUCACAUGACUACUAUUAGCAUGACUUAUCCCAUGUCCUCAGGAACAAAAGUAACUACUCACAAAGCAUAAUCAUAUUCAUGACCAGAGAGGUAAUGAGUAGCAUCAAGGAUCUGAAAAUAAACUCUUCCACCAAGUAAUCCAACUAGUAUCAACUACAAAGAGUAAUUAAGACUACUAGCAACCUUACAAGUACCAAUCGGAGUCGCGAGAUGGAGACUGGUUUCAAGUGAUGAACUAGGGUUUGGAGAUGAGAUGGUGCUGAUGAAGAUGUUUGAUGGUGAUGAGUCCCCUCCGAUGAGAGGAGUGUUGGUGAUGACGAUGGCGAUGAUUUCCCCCUCCGAGAGGUAAGUUUCCCCGACAGGAUCGUCCUGCCGGAGCUCUAGAUUGCUUCUGCUCAAGUUCUGCCUUGUCGCGGCGGCGAAUCCUCCGAAAAGCCUCCUUCAUAUUUUUUUCCGGACAAAACCCUUCAUAUAGCAGAAGAGGGGAGCCACAGGUCCAGCUGGGUGCCCACAAGCCCCCUAGGCGCGGCCAGGGGGUGGCCGCGCCUAGCAGGCUUGUGGCCACUUGUUGGCGCCCCUCUGGCACUUCUUCGGCCCAGUAUUUUUUAUAAAUCCCGAAAAAAUCCUUGUUCAUUUUCACGACGUUUGGAGUUGCACAGAAUAGGUAUCUCAAACUUGCUCCUUUUUCAGGCCAGAAUUCCAGCUGCCUACAUUCUGCCUCUUCAUGUAAACCUUGCAAAAUAAGAGAGAAAAGGCAUAAGUAUUGUACCGUGAAGUGAAAUAACAGCCCAAGAAGCGAUAAAUAUCAACAUGAAAACAUGAUGCAAAAUGGACGUAUCAAAGCCCUCCGUGUCCGAAUCCCCCCUCCAGCAGGGAACCAGAACGUGCCCCAGAUGGGAUCUUACGAAGAUAGAAGCUUGCGGAGGCGGAAAAGUAUUUUCGUGGAUCUCUCCCGUGGUUUCAGGUUUUUAGGGAAUUUAUAGACGGAAGAAGUAGGGAAAAGGAGCCACAGGGGGCCCACAAGCCUGGUAGGCGCGCCCCCCAGGCUGCGGCUAGGGGGCUUGUGGCCUCCCCCAGGAUCCUUUGCCUUGGUUCUCAAGUUCCCUGCAUAUCUUCUGUUUUGAAAAAAAAAUCAUUCCGAAGAUUUUAUUCCGUUUGGACUCCGUUUAAUAUUCUUCUUUGAAAAGGGUCAAAAAUACGGAAAAAAAAAUAGGAACUGGCACUUGGCACUGAGUUAAUAGGUUAGUCCCAAAAAGGAUAUAAAAUGCAUACAAAACAUCCAAAGUUGACAAGAUAAUAGCAUGGACCCAUAAAGAACUAUAGAUACGUUGGAGACGUAUCAACGCUCGCGGGUGAUAACUGGGACUUGGCCUUCCGACGUGCCUUGUCUCCUAAAGAGUUGGUUCAAUGGUGGCGUCUUGCUGUCCUUUUUCCCUCGCUCUCGGAGGUGGAGGACUCGGUGGUCUGGCCUCACUCUACUUCAGGCUGCUUCUCGGUUAAGUCCCUGUAUUCAAAGCUUAUUGCUGGUACUCCUACGAAUAAGUUUUGUCAGAGUUGGCAUUCGCAUAUUCCUCCUACGAUUAAAAUCUUCAUGUGGCAAGCUUUCAGGGGUCGCUUCCCGGCUGCUGAGCAGAUUCGGAAACGCAACGGCCCGGGCUCGGACUGUUGUGCCUUAUGUGAUGCUUUGGAGGACACCAAUUAUAUUAUUUUCAACUCUGUCUUGGCUAAAUUGAUCUGGUGCUGCUUUCGAUCUUUGUUGCAAGUUUCAUGGGCUCCUUUGUCUUACUCUGACCUCCAGAUUCUCACCAGUCCUUUGGUGGGUGAUAUGAAACGUUUGUUCUGGAUUGGGCUGGCAGCGAUGUGUUGGGCCUUGUGGACUACCGGGAACAAGUUUACGAUUGAACAUAUCUUUCCUUCUAAGCCUGUUGAUUGCUUAUUUAAAGCUUGCUUGUUCCUGCAGCAGUGGAGAUUAUUGACUAAGCUUGAAGAUAAAAACAACUUCGACCUGCUGUUAUCUAAGAUUCGGGCCUCUCCAUCUUCCAUUUCACGGCUGCAGCCUCGUGUCUAAAUCUCGGAGUGGCUGAGGGCUUGGUUGUUGUUCGUCUUUCUAUCGGAGUUCAAUGUUUGUCCGGCCUACGUGUCGUAGGUUUGGCUCGUGUGCCAUGUAUCUCACUCUUUGCUUCAUGUUUCGGCUUGGGUGGCGGUUCGGACUCGUGUUGUUUGUUGUUUGUGACUCUGCCUGCUGGCUUUAUUUAUAAAGUCAAGCUCAUGCCUUUUCUCUAAAAAAAGAAAUCAUUCGUUUGGCGAGCCGUUCAAUUUGAAGGAGGCAAUCGUUCGAAAGUAGCACGACGCAUCUUCCUUCUCUGUACCCCAACACAGCAGCUUCCACACCAACAUCAACACAGCCUCUUCCAUAGUAGCAUCAACGGCACCACCGAUGUUCCAUUGCAACCUCGUUAGUGCUCCAUUGCAACCUCGACGAAGUUUCGACCAUCCAGCAUGCUUCACUGCAACUCCGGCGGCUUCAUUGUAACCCCGGCCAUGUUUCGACGACCAUCCGGCAUGCUUCAGUGCAUCUCUAACAUGCUUCGGUGCAGCUCUCACGGCUCACCCUCUUGCGUGCUUUACUGCAACUUCGGUGACACUUCACUUGCAGCCGCGGCGGAGCUCCAAUGGCCCGAACAGCGCUCGAAUGCACCUCUAUCGCCGAAGACUUGCAGCAUCAGCAGGUUGUUGUGUCGUAGUGCAUGAUACGUCCAUUUUGUAUCAUGCUUUCAUGUUGAUAUUUAUCGCUUUUUGGCUGUUAUUACACUUCACGGUACAAUACUUAUGCCUUUUCUCUCUUAUUUUGCAAGGUUUACAUGAAGAGGGAGAAUGCCGGCAGCUGGAAUUCGGGCCUGAAAAGGGAGCAAGUUUGAAAUACCUAUUCUGCGCAACUCCAAAAGACGUGAAAAUCAACGAGGAUUUAUUUUGGAAUUUAUAAAAAAUACUGGGCCGAGGAAGUACCAGAGGGGCACCGGCAGGAGGCCACAAGCCUGCUAGGCGCGGCCUACCCACCCUGGCCGCGCCUAGGGGGCUUGUGAGCUCCCUGCUGGCCCUCUGGCCCCCCUCUUUUGCUAUAAGGAGGGUUUUGUUCCGAAAAAAUCAGGAGCAGGCUUUCGGGAGGAAUCGCCGCCGCCACGAGACGGAACUUGAGCAGAACCAAUCUAGAGCUCCGGCAGGGUCGUCCUGCCGGGGAAACUUCCCUCUCGGUGGGGGAAAUCGUUGCCAUCGUCAUCACCAACACUCUUCUCAUCGGAGGGGACUCAUCACCAUCAACAUCUUCAUCAGCACCAUCUCAUCUCCAAACCCUAGUUCAUCUCUUGUAACCAAUCUCCGUCUCGCUACUCCGAUUGGUACUUGUAAGGUUGCUAGUAGUGUUAAUUACUCUUUGUAGUUAAUGCUAGUUGGAUUACUUGGUGGAAUAUUAUAUGUUCAGAUUUUUGAUGCUAGUUGUAAGGUCAUGAAUAGGAUUAUGCUUUGCGAGUAGUCACUUUUGUUCCUGAGGUCAUGGGAUAAGUCAUGCUAUAAGUAGUCAUGUGAAUUUGGUAUUCGUUUGAUAUUUUGAUGUGUUGUAUGUUGUCUCUCCUCUAGUGGUGUUAUGUGAACGUCGACUACAUAACACUUCACCAUUAUUUGGGCCUAGAGGAAGGCAUUGGGAAGUAGUAAGUAGAUGAUGGGUUGCUAGCGUGACAGAAGCUUAAACCCUAGUUUAUGUGUUGCUUCGUAAGGGGCUGAUUUGGAUCCACUAGUUUAAUGCUAUGGUUAGACUUUGUCUUAAUUCUUCUUUCGUAGUUGGGGAUGGUUGCGAGAGGGGUUAAUCUUAAAUGGGAUGCUUGCCCAAGUAAGGGAAGUACCCAAGCGCCGGUCCACCCACAUAUCAAACUAUCAAAGUAGUGAACGGGAAUCAUAUGAACAUGAUGAAAACUAGCUUGACAGAAAUUCCCAUGUGUCCUCGGGAGCAUUUUACCUCCUAUAAGAGUUUCUCCAGGCUUGUCCCUUGCUACAAAAGGGAUUGGGCCACUUUUCUGCACCUUUGUUACCGUUGUUACUUGCUACUUGCUACGAAUCAUAUUAUCACACAACUACUUGUUACCGACAAUUUCAGUGCUUGCAGAGAUUACCUUGCUGAAAACCACUUGUCAGAUCCUUCUGCUCCUCGUUGGGUUCGACACUCUUAAUUAUCGAAGGACUACAAUAGAUCCCCUAUACUUUUGGGUCAUCAAGACUCUUUUCUGGCGCCGUUGCCGGGGAGUGAAGCGCCUUUGGUAAGUGGAAUUUGGUAAGGAAACAUUUAUAUAGUGUGCUGAAAUUUAUUGUCACUUGUCACUAUGGAAACUAAUCCUUUGAGGAGCUUGUUAGGGGUAUCUUCACCUCGAAUGGAAGCACAAGGAGUUUCUCCUCAACCUGCUGCACCUACUGGAAAUAUUUUCUAUGAAUUUCCUUAGGGUAUGCUUGAGAAACUGCUGGCUAAUCCUUUUACAGGAGAUGGAACAUCACAUCCCGACUUGCAUCUAAUUUAUGUAGAUGAAGUUUGUGGUUUACUUAAGCUUGCAGGUUUGCCCGAGAUGAGGUCAAGAAGAAGGUAUUUCCCUUAUCUUUGAGGGAUAAAGCAUUGACAUGGUAUAGGCUAUGUCAUGAUACUCAAUCAUGAAACUACAACCGGUUGAAAUUGGUAUUUGAUCAAAAGUUUGAUCCUAUGCAUCUAGUACAUCGUGAUCGGAAUUAUAUUUAUAAUUUUUGGCCUCGUGACAGAGAAAGCAUCGCUCAAGCUUGGGGGAGGCUUAAAUCAAUGUUAUAUUCAUGCCCCAACCAUGAGCUCUCGAGACAAAUUAUCAUUCAAAACUUCUAUGCUCGGCUUUCUCAUGAUGAUCGCACCAUGCUUGACACUUCUUGUACCGGUUAUUUUAUGAAGAAAGAUAUUGACUUCAAAUGGAAUUUAUUGGAAAGAAUUAAACGCAACUCUAAAGAUUGGGAGCUUGAUGAAGGUAAGGAGUCAGGUAUGAAUUUCAAGUUUGAUUGUGUUAAAUCCUUUGUUGAAAUAAAUACUUUUUGUGAUUUUAGCGCUAAGUAUGGACUUGACUCUGAGAUAGUAGCUAGAUUGUGUGAAUCAUUCGCUGCUCAUAUCGAUCUCCCCAAAGAGAAGUGGUUUAAAUAUCAUCCUCCCUUAGAAGUCAAUGUAGUUAAACCCAAUCCAGUUGAAGAGGAAGUCAUUGCCUAUAAUGAUCCUAUUGUUCCCAGUGCUUACAUUGAGAAACCACCUUUCCCUGUUAGGAUAAAGGAUCAUUCUAAAGCUUCAACAGUGAUACGUAGGGGCUACAUUAGAACAUCUACACCCCCUGAGAAAAUUAGAGUUGAACCUAGCAUUGCUAUUAUCAAAGAUAUUCUGUCCGACAAUGUCGAGGGCCAUGAUAUUCACUUCUGUGAAGAUGCUGCUAGAAUUGCUAAACCUCAUGCUAGAGACAAACAUAGGCCUGGUGUUGACAUGCCUGUUGUUUCUGUUAAGAUAGGAGAUCAUUGUUAUCAUGGUCUAUGUGAUAUGGGUGCUAGUGUUAGUGCAAUACCUCGAUCCUUAUAUGAUGAAAUCAAAGACAAGAUUGCACCUGUCGAGAUAGAACCCAUUGAUGUCACUAUUCAGCUUGCCAAUAGAGAUAAUAUCUGCCCUUUGGGAAUUGUUAGAGAUGUUGAAGUCUUGUGUGGUAAAACGAAGUAUCUUAAUGAUUUCCUCGUUCUUGCUACCACACAAGAUAGCUUUUGUCCCAUCAUAUUUGGCAGACCUUUUCUCAAUAAUGUCAAUGCUCAUAUUGAUUGUGAGAAGCAAACUGUCACUGUGAGCAGGAAAAUGAUAUGCAUAUGGAUGAAAGUUAUCUUUGAACAAUAUCCUAUCCUUAAGAAUAACUUGCCUGUUGAACUGCUUGGAGAUCCACCCCCACCAAAGGGUGAUCCUGUGUUCGAGCUCAAACAGUUGCCUGAUACUCUUAAGUAUGCUUAUCUUGAUGAAAAAGAGAUAUAUCCUGUUAUUAUUAGUGCCAGCCUCUCAGAGCAUGAAGAAAAUAAGUUACUAAAAACCAUGAGGAAGCACCGUGCUGCUAUUGCAUAUACUCUUGAUGAUCUUAAGGGCAUUAGUCCCACUCUAUGCCAGCACAAGAUUAAAACCGAUCCUGAUUCUAAACCAGUUGCUGAUCAUCAAAGGAGAUUAAAUCCUAAGAUGAAAGAGGUAGUAAGAAAAGAAAUACUAAAGCUCCUAGAAGCAGGUAUUAUUUAUCCUGUUGCUCAAAGUGAUUGGGUGAGUCCGGUGCAUUGCGUCCCUAAGAAGGGAGGCAUUACCGUUGUCCCUAAUGAUAAGGAUGAAUUGAUCCCACACAGGAUUAUUACUGGCUAUAGGAUGGUGAUUGAUUUUAGGAAAUUGAAUAAAUCCACUAGGAAAGAUCAUUACCCUUUGCCUUUUAUUGACCAAAUGCUAGAAAGACUGUCUAAACACACACACUUCUGCUUUCUAGAUGGUUAUUCUGGUUUCUCCCAAAUACCAGUUGCACAAUCUGAUCAGGAAAAAACCAUUUUCACCUGCCCUUUCAGUACCUUUGUUUACAGACGUAUGCCUUUUGGCUUAUGUAAUUCAAAUACCACCUUUCAAAGAUGCAUGAUGGCUAUAUUCUCUCACUUUUGUGAAAAGAUUGUUGAGGUUUUCAUGGAUGACUUCUCCGUUUACGGAUCUUCUUUUGAUGAUUGCCUCAGCAACCUUGAUCGAGUCUUGCAGAGAUGUAAAGGUACCUGAUGGGGUUAUAGUCCCAGGGUAGGGUCAUAGGCCUACCCUAUAGGUCCCACCCAAGGACUACCCUUCAUAGAGGACAAGGCCCUUAGACAGUUCCGACUGAACUAAGGACUCCCCCCAUCAUCCAGUCGGUGACGAACACACGGAGCAUAUUUAACGUACCGACUGGAUUCAACUCUGUACAUCGUAACCUCCGAGGAGGGCAACGGUCAUACGUUUUCAUACACCAUUAUUAACAUUUAAGGCAUAUGUUACCUGUAACGUAGGCAUUUAUUCGCCACUAUUCCACCCCUGUCCACCGGGCCAUUAUGAAGGGCAGCGCACUCUAUAUAAGCCGCCCUUCCCCACUGGUGCAGGGGUUGGCAUUUACCGUAAUCCUAUAUUCCACUCGACACUAAGCUCCCAAGAGCACUGAGACGUAGGGCUUGUACCUCCACCGUAGAGGGGCCUGAACUCAUACAUCCUCGUCGUAGCAAAGGCUCUGCCCAUCCUUUCGUACCCUACACAUCUACUGUCACACUUAUACCCACGACAGUUGGCGCCCACCAUGGGGCAGGCGUCUAAGCGACUUUCGGCGAGUUUGCAACUUCAUCUUUUCAUCAUGUCGUCCGGCGGAGACUUGUGCAUGGGUCAUGAGAUCCUCUUCAGCGCACUCUCCUUCAUCGUCGACGAUUCGGCAUGGCUACGGGAUGCGCCUCUCGACGUCGAGGCGCUCCCCAGUCGCGGGGCUACGCACUUCCGUGCCGUUGCCCGCGGCGUCCUUCUUCUCCAGCAAUCGGCCCCGGUGUCGAUCUUUGCCCCCAUCACGCGCCGCAACAAGCGGUCCCGCCGUCCGCGGCUCCAGCGUUGGGUGCGACACGCCCAGGCGCGACAGAACGCGUCCUCUCAAGUGGCGGUCCUUGAGUCGGUUGUGGUCGCGCCGCCGUCCCAGUGCUUGGAAUCAGUUCCGACUGAGUUACAUUUCGAGUACUUGGGUCGCGGGCCUGCAGUCGAAGUUCUCAUGGCCGAUUCCCAUGAAAGUCCCCUCCGAACUGGUCGGAACGAGCACGAGGUCGGCGAAUAAUCUGGCGCUCGUCGUCAACACCGCUGUUCUGCCAGUCGACGCACUCGCCAGAGCAACGUCGAGGUGUUCCGCACACCCGUCCUCAACCUGGCUGCCGCUGCCAAGAUAGCUGAUUCCCUCCAACUGACUAAUUCAGAGGCUGGUAGAGGGAUCGAGCAGAUCCGUGCCCUGUUGCAUACGGCGUAGCAGCAGAAUUAGGCGGUCUCCCAGUCGCACAACAGGAUCCACAACAGUUCUGUUCACGCAAACACGCAUCGGUCGGUUUUCAGCCCCGACUCUCAUCAGCGACGCGGAGGGGUCAGCCGUUCUAGGAAUCCUGAAGAUCGUCGCCGUUCACACACCCCUCCGCGGGGUGCGCCUUACGAGCCCCGGCAUCACGAUGAUCGGCGUUCAGUCGGUGACGCGUAUGAUCCAAGGCCCGACGCAAGAGGGUACAUCGCCCAAAGGAAGGUCAACAGGAGUCGAGCCCACCGUGAUGGUCACGAUAGAGACCGUCCGAGUGGAAGCAGGACCAUCGUCUCUGGUCCCGAUUGCUUCAGUCGGGCCAUCCGUUCAGCUGACAUCCCUCCCAACUUCUGAUUGGCGACGGAAAUCAGCAAGUUCACAGGAGAGUUCAAGCCAGAAACGUGGCUGGNNNNNNNNNNNNNNNNNNNNNNNNNNNNNNNNNNNNNNNNNNNNNNNNNNNNNNNNNNNNNNNNNNNNNNNNNNNNNNNNNNNNNNNNNNNNNNNNNNNNUAUAUAAUCAAACAUAGUAUUCACGUAAGCACUCACACUAGCAAUCAUUCUAGCAAUCAAUUAACAAACAGCAAUAAAAGUUGAUGCAAUCAAAAAUCAAUAAGAGAGAGCGGAUAAAAAUCCGAAGGAAACUUCAAAUAAGACUAGGGAGUCUUCUACUACGUCAAACACUAAAUAGUUUUUGUUCUAACUGAAAAUAAAACACUAAAAUAGAAAAAAUAACAGAAAACAAAAUAUAAGAUAACUAAGAUAACAGAAGUAAAAUUUACAAAACAAUAUUAUUUUAUAAGUAUUUUCAAAAUAGGAAAUCAAACUAGCAAUGCAAUCAAUUCGCAAGUUAGUAUAGAACUAGAAUUGAUUCCAAGCAAACAAAUAAGAAUAAAUAAAAUAAAAUUUUCUUGUUGUUGAAAAGUUACUGGUAAAUAUCAGAAAAAAAAAAUAACAUGUCACAAUUACAAAAAAACAAAUUAAGAACAAUUAAUACAAAAGAAAUAGCAAGAAAACAAAAAAAGGCUAAAACAGAAUCUGUUNNNNNNNNNNNNNNNNNNNNNNNNNNNNNNNNNNNNNNNNNNNNNNNNNNNNNNNNNNNNNNNNNNNNNNNNNNNNNNNNNNNNNNNNNNNNNNNNNNNNUAUAUAAUCAAACAUAGUAUUCACGUAAGCACUCACACUAGCAAUCAUUCUAGCAAUCAAUUAACAAACAGCAAUAAAAGUUGAUGCAAUCAAAAAUCAAUAAGAGAGAGCGGAUAAAAAUCCGAAGGAAACUUCAAAUAAGACUAGGGAGUCUUCUACUACGUCAAACACUAAAUAGUUUUUGUUCUAACUGAAAAUAAAACACUAAAAUAGAAAAAAUAACAGAAAACAAAAUAUAAGAUAACUAAGAUAACAGAAGUAAAAUUUACAAAACAAUAUUAUUUUAUAAGUAUUUUCAAAAUAGGAAAUCAAACUAGCAAUGCAAUCAAUUCGCAAGUUAGUAUAGAACUAGAAUUGAUUCCAGGCAAACCAAUAAGAAUAAAUAAAAUAAAAUUUUCUUGUUGUUGAAAAGUUACUGGUAAAUAUCAGAAAACAAAAGAUAACGUGUCACAAUUACAACGAAACAAAUUAAGAACAAUUAAUACAAAAGAAAUAGCAAGAAAACAAAAAAAGGCUAAAACAGAAUCUGUUUUGCUUUAAACUAUAAGUAAAAUUACAUAAAACAUUGAAACUUAAACUACUGAAAGAUAUCAUCAAUAGGAAGAAGCAGCAAAAAGAAUCAAAUUAAAAGCUAUUUUUAAACUCCCGGAAUAAGCAAAACAAGCUUUAAUUCGAAUCUGAUCUAACUCAAUUUUUAUAAAUCCAAACAUAGAAAAAUUAUAUAUCUAUAGAAACUGCAUAAAAUUUUUGAUCCAACGCAAAAGGAAUCACCUAAUUCGGAGUUAUAGAUUAAUAGAUAUAAAUUUUCUAAGAUUGCAAUUUUAUGAAAAAACUGCAAUACGGGAGUUCGUGAAUCUCACGAUGGGUGACACACAGGAAGAACUCCGGCGAGGUAGCGGCUCCGGCGAGGUGGGGAGGUCGCCGGUGGGGUGGGGAAUCGGCGGAGGAGUAGCACGACAGGGGUUGGGGCGCUGGAGAGGCUCGGCAGGGGUGAUGGGGAAGCGCCACGAGACCUACUGUACUCCGUUCUUGAUAGGAAGAUGAGGAUGGUGGCGCCGUGGCUACGAGCAGGGAGAAGGCGAGGUGAUGGGGAAAAUGGAACGAGGAGAGGAGGGCGUUCUUAUAGGGGUGGUGGGAGGCUCGGGAAGGAAGUCUAGCCCGCGAAUCGGGGGAGGGAAGCUUCUUAGGAAGCUUCUGCCAUGGCCAUAGAAGGAAGCUCGUGAGGAGGAAGAAGAAGGUGGGAUUGGGCCAGUUUGGUUUCCUAACGUGGCCCAAGUACAUUCCUGAAAUAAGAGAUCUCUUUCCCUUUUUAUUAAANNNNNNNNNNNNNNNNNNNNNNNNNNNNNNNNNNNNNNNNNNNNNNNNNNNNNNNNNNNNNNNNNNNNNNNNNNNNNNNNNNNNNNNNNNNNNNNNNNNNGUGCUGGAAAGCACCAUAUUAAAUGCUAUUUAAUUUAAUGCACCUAUAUACUUGGUAAAAGGUGAAAGGCUCGGCCUUUUCUAGCCUGGUGUUUUGUUCCACCUUUAACCCCUUAGUUUUCGGCUACCGGUGUUAUGUUCCAUAAACGAGCGCUCCUAACACGAUCGGGGUUGUUAUGGGGACCCCCUUGAUAAUUCGUUUUAGAUUAAAGCUGGUCUGGCAAGGCCCAACUUUGGUACUACAUUUUCCUAAUAACUAAUGAACUGCAUACGUGUUAGGAGCGCUAGAUUAUGGAACAUAACACCGGUAGCCGAAACUAAGUGGGCAAAGGUGGAACAAAACACCAGGCUAGAAAGGUCGCGCCUUCCACCUUCUAUCAAGUAUAUAGGUGCAUUAAAUUUAAAUAACAUUAAAUAGGGUGAUAUAACAAGGAACCCAUGUUAUCACAUGGAAGCAACUGCACCUGCAACUAGCAACGCUAACAACAUGGUUAAGCAAGCAGUAACAUAUCCAAUCAGUGGUUUGCUAGGUCGAAUAGGUUGAAGGUUAUCAUGGCAUUGUUGAGAGGCUGAAAUUUAACAUGUGGUAGGUAACCAGACAUAUUCGAGAGAAGCGAUACAAAUAGCAUGGCAAUGAUUGUAAUGGUAUCUGGGGAAAUGGUCAUCUUGCCUGAGAUCCCGCUUGGAAGAAGAACAACUCCGUGACGCAGACGAACCAACGUAGUCGAAUGGAUCCUCACAUUCCGACACGCUUGCGGAACUCUAUCGAGACGGAGCAAACCGAAAACAAGCAUCAACACAGAUGUUCACCACACGAAGCACAACAUGAUGCACAGCCUACUAUGAUGCAUGAUCAGUUCAAUGAUGCAAGGCAUGGCAUGGCAAUUCACCUCACGCAAACACUACACAUUAAGUGAAGCUCGAUAUGCAACGAGUUACAUAUCGACGAAACUCCACGUUUAAUUAUUUAGUUCACUCUCGUUUAUUUACACGCAAUAUUAAAAUGUUGUUAACAUGGCAAGGGGUCAAACGGGUGAUUCUACAAGUCAUGCUAGUCGGUUAGCACACGGGACUUAGAAUGGAGCUAUGUUACAAGAAACAUGCAACACAAGAUAUCAUGCCAUGAAUGUGUCAUGCAUGCAAGUUCAUAACAACACGGGCAAGAAGAGAAAGAAGGAUGUGUCGCCAUGGCGAGCGAAAGGGAUCCACGACGGCAAGUCUGAAACGAAGCCACGGCAACGUUCCUAUCCCGAUAACUCGAAGAGGUAUCGGUGCCAACGAAAUGUGAGCGUGUGCGGGAACGCUAAAUAAAGAUGGGGUGAUCCCGGUUACCGGGUUCCCAUGUGUCGGGGCACAACAAAAGAGGAACACGUGCAAUGGCAACAUAUGGCGCAUACAUACGAUACAACUCAUACAUCAGAAGCAUUCGGUACACGACACGUUCCAACGGUAUACCUUCGAAGCGUGCGAAUCAGAGGGGUGCGGUUCGGUGAAGGAGAACAAUGGACGUUGUGGUCGUCGAGGUACUCGGGUCUCGUCGACGGUAGUCGUACUCUUGGCGUCGGUAGACGAGUCUUCGGCGACGGUAGUCGAACACGUUCCGAAGAUGGUCGGGGGUCGUCGAGGACGUCGUGUACUCGGCGAACUUGUCGACGACCCAUGAUGGCGGGGAUGGUCUACGCGGCGACAGCAGGCGACACAACAGCAACAUCUAGCAGCUUAGCGGCAGGAGCAACAAGCAACAAGCUACGGCAUGCAGCAGCAUCGACAGCAAAACGGCAGCCUAGCAAGCAGCAAAACGCAGCAUCAAGCGACAACAUUAGGCACGGCAAGCAAGCACAGGCACGCAGCAAGCACAGCAAGAAACUACAGCAGCGUAGCAGCAGCUACAUGCAUCGGCAAGCAGGCAACAGCCUAGCAUCAGGCAGAAGCGAGCGACAACAACAUGCGGCAACAACACAAGCAACAUCCAACAACAACUAACUAUAGAAGCUACUAGCAUCUAUCUAGCAGGCUAGCAAGCAAGCGCAACAUGCAGCCAGCAUGCAAAAACGCAGCAGCAGCUAUGGCCAAGCAACACAUGGCAGCAGCAAUCGGCAAGUAGGAGGAGGCAGGGGAGGGGAUUGGAGGCGCGCAUGGCGACGGAGGAGGUCCAAGGCGGCUCGAGGCGAGGCAGAGGAGGUCGGGGGCGAGGGCGAGCAGCGCGGGCGGCAUGGCAGGCAGGCGGUCUAUAGGCGGCGGCGGGGCAGGAGCAAGCCGGCUUCGGUGCAGGACUUCAGCGAGGGGAUCGAGCACGGGACGAUGGCUGAGGAGGGGAUCGGGACGGGGAAGAAAUGAGAGGGAGAGAAAGAUGACGGCGCGGGGAGAAGAGCGAGAAGAGGAUGACGCGCACGGGAGGCCUUCGGUAGGGCACGACAAGCACAGAUGGGCCUGGGCCGGCUGGGCAGCUCCUCCUCUCCCUCUUGCACUUGAUGUUUUACUUUUUUUAAAGCAGGAAAACUCAAACAAAAGAAAAGGGUUUAAACAACAAAAAAGAAAUAUUUUUUACUCCUUUAAAACAAACCCCAACUAUAAAAUAGAUUGGGCCUAUUUUUUAAAGAAAUAAAAUGAAACCUUUUUUGAAGAAUAAAAUAAAACCCUUUUAACAAGAGAAUAAAAUAAACCCCUUUUACCAAUAAAAUGAGACUCUAGUUUUGAAAUAAAACAAAAGAAAAAAAUAAAGGAAACCCAAGGGGUUGCCUCCACAUUUAAUAAAAGGAUUUUUUUUUAAAGAAGACGAACCUUUUUAAAAUAGGGGUUAAAAUGGAAACUUUAGCAAAACCACAAAAAUGAAAUAAGAGGGGAGAGAGGGGGAGUUACUAACGCACUUGAAGCACACACACUCAAAACACCACACGGAAUAGAUGAUGCAAGAUGCCAUGCAUGAUGCGACGAUGCAAACUAAAUGAUGAUGCGCCAAAUAAAAAUAAUCACACGACAGAAACAGAAAUAAAGGGGGAAUCUUCUGGAACGUCGGUCUCGGGCUGUCACAACUCUCCUACCCUACAAGAGAAUCUCUUCGUGAGAUCCAGGAAUGAAAGGGGGGAGAGGAUGAGAAAGAACAAGAGGUAAAAACUUAGUCGCUUCUUGAUAAACGAGUGACACCAACGAUCCUUGAAGGUUGCAAAGAGAUGAAGAAUGAUAUGAGAAACAAGAAAGAAUUCACGACAAGUUUCGGCAGCACUUCGGUAGGAAAAUGGGACAAAAAAUUCGAGAAGAAGAGAAAAUUAGACAAUAUUCAUAACAAGCAACUAAAUAGAGCAAAGGAACACCAUGAUCUUGGUAGAACAACAUAACAGACCCAAAAGAGCAACAUCAGAAAGCCUCCGGAACAAGAGAAUAUGAACUAGCUCAAGCGGAAGAAGAGAAUGAAGAAAAGAAUGCCAACUAUCAUCACAAUAGAAUUGAAGAGCCUCCGGACAGAGAAUUGACGUAGUAGUUGGAAAACCAACAACGAAGAAGAAGACAGUAGUGGGCUUAUGAAAGUCAUCUCAGCACCUAUGAGGUGACAACCAACCACUACAAGAACCAAGGAUAGAUGAAAGCAAAGAUAUCAAAACUUCUUACACCAAGAGGAUACAUUGAGAACUUGGAUUAAUGACAAGCACCAUAAUAGCAACAAUCCAUAGGAAAAGCUUUAGGUGAAAUUCAAACCAAGAUAGCUCAAUGAAGAAAUCAUCGGUUGAAAUAUCUCAUGAUCAAAGAAUUGGUGGUUUUAAUUGUCUCAUUCCUGAAAGGAAAACACUUCGAGGCUCCUACACUAACAAGAAUGCUAUAACACCACCUCAAAGGAUAAAGGAGAACAACGCAUUGGAAAUGCAAGAGAAAGAAUACUUGAGGUACUCCAACAAGAAUCUUGAAGAACACUUUGAGAAAAAUCACAUCCUUGAAGAACCACCAAGACGCAGCUCCGUAUCAAAAGGAUUAUGCAAGAAUGAAGGAUGAAAGAACAAGAUUGAAACCUUGCAAAUACUUCGAUGAAGCUUCACGAAGAGAUACUUGAGAAAACUUGGCACUCCGGAAAAGAAAAGAUAAGAACACUUGAGAAAAAGGAAUUGAUGUCAAGAGCCACUCCGGAAGAAGAAUUCAGAUCACUUGAUGAAACAAGAAUAAGAAUUAUGCUAUGCUAAUCCUUCGUCAACUUUAAUUGAUGACAAGCAACAGAUUUAGCGUAUCACUUAUUCUUCUAGAAAUGAAUCUUGGAGAGACAGAGAGACAAACACCACUUGAGGCAUAAUUUAAGGAAGCACCGGCAAGAAAUCACAAUUGAAUGGGAACACCACGAAUUAAUGGAGAUACAUGAGAAUGAAGAGAUCAUGAGCCACCUGAGAGAAAACUAGAACAAGGCACCGGAUAAUCGAGAGACGAACGAAGAGACAACAAUGGAGAAGAAUUUGAGAAUGAAAGCUGCAAGCUGAGAAUGAACAAAAUCUUCUGGAUGAUGGCCUUCGGAGGAUCGAGAAUGAAAACUCAGAAAUGCGCCGAAUAGCAAGAAAGGGAUUACCCAUGAUUGGAACAAUAAGAUGACGACACCAAGCUGAAAUGAUGAAUCUACAAUAUAAUGGACCAAGAUUCGAGAGAAACACUCCUUCGGAUAGCAAGCUGAGAAUGAUGACGAGAAACAACACCAAGAAUAACUGAGAAACUCCGGAAUAGAGAAGAAUGAAAGAUUGAGCCAAUAUGAGAAUUAAUACACAUAGCUCUUGAAGAAGUAAUAUGACUGAUGAAAUUCACACUUACGUCAUAGUUGAAAUAAUUAGAGGUCUCUGGAAAAGAUUAAAAGUGCCAGGUAAGAUCCUGGUAAAAGCUGUGGGUUAUGGGCCCACUCAAAGAAACCACCGUUAGGAAAGAUUGCUAGAAAGAUAUUGCACCGGUAUGAAGAGAACUAGAUAAGGUUGAGAACCUCGAAAUAGUUAAAAGAAUUGAGAACACGAAACUCAGAGAUAUCUUCAGCACUCCGGAUAGGAAAGAGAUGAAUGAAUAACAUGAUAGGCUAAUAAGAAUUCCCAACAUAGGAAGGAAUUAGAAGGAUGAAAAGGAUAUAAUGAACACGGACAACUGAAUUAAAUUCACCGGAAAAGAUAACAAGAUUGAAUAAAUAUGAACACGAAGCUCCUGAGAAUCUUCAAAAAAAUUACCGGGUAAGACACGGAAGAAAAGAUAGAGGAAGCAACAAUCAAAAGAAAAAUUCUUGGAUGAAAAUUGAAUCACUGAAGAAAAGGGUGGGAGGGUGGGGAAAAACAAAGACAACUUGGGACAAAUGAGACAAACUCCGGAAAGAAUUGAGAGAAUGAUCUUGCAAAAUUGGAGAGGAUGGAAUUCAGUUGAAGAGAAGCACACCAGUUGAAUGGAAUUGAUACGAUGACUCCGGUUGACAAGAAAUGAAAGACAAGUUGAUUUGAGAAAACGGAUUAGUACUCUCAUAAAAAUAUGAGAACACCACUUAAGAAAGAUCUGAAAUCACCACUUGACAUCGAAGCAAGACGAAUUACCAUAUUUCAACAAACAAAGGGAUGAGGCUUACGAAAGAAGCCAGAACAAACUCAUGAGAAAGAUUUCGUCGGAUAUUUUCGUGGACAGGAUCGCACGGGCUCGAUCCUUACAAUAGCCAUCAAGUGCAAGGCAGUGCACCCGACAUACGAAGCGUCCCCAAGUCAUAGCAAGCUACAAGGACUCUUUAAGACACAACGAGAACCGUUGUAAGUCGACCGUCAACAAACGAAUCCACUAGAUGUCGACCCCAACCUAACAUCAUGCAUUUGUUGGAAGAGUGUCCUAUAAGCAACUACUUGAAUUCCCACCUAAGAAUUCCCGAAAUAUAUGGUCAUGAAAUCUAGUACACGGAUACAAGGAGUAAUAAUCACACAACUCCUAUACUAACCCGUCAUCUGUAUCACAUCCGUCAACACACAACCAGAAUCUCGGACCUUCAUCUACAAUAGACCCUCGUGAUCACAAUGAUACAACGUAUGGCAGUACUCCCGAACAAUCUGCACCAGUACUGGGGACAUCGGGGUUAUCUCACCACUACUAGUACUGAAGCAAUUAUGAACAUCCUUCAUUCUGAGAUACUAAGAAAUCUGAAUGAUAACGAUGUGCUCGAGAAUCCCCUGGAGCUCAACUCCCCGGAAGAAAAUCAAGUCAGACAGGAGGCACCAAGACAGAACUCCGUCACAUCGGCAUCAUAUAGAUUACAAAAAUAUCCGCGUGAUCCUAAAUUUUUUUUUAGUGAGAAGAGGAGUAGAAUUAAAAUUACGUCAAGAUUCCUCACCAGAGCAUAGAAGAGGAAAAAAAGAAUCCUACUCUCUGAUAUAUAACUAGACUCAAAGCAGUUUUUCACUAGACUCGACUCGGCCAAGUUCGAUCAAUCAAGGGGCCUCCUAGGUCGGUACUGCUCUGAUACCAACUUGCUACGCCCAAGAUGCGACCCUAUCCUCAAUUUGGCACGAGGGCCUCAUCAGGGAUAGAAGCGCAUCUCGUCGUGUCGCAAGAAUGGAUAUCGUUACAAGUACAUGUACUGAAAAGAAGAUAUAUAUAUAUANNNNNNNNNNNNNNNNNNNNNNNNNNNNNNNNNNNNNNNNNNNNNNNNNNNNNNNNNNNNNNNNNNNNNNNNNNNNNNNNNNNNNNNNNNNNNNNNNNNNNNNNNNNNNNNNNNNNNNNNNNNNNNNNNNNNNNNNNNNNNNNNNNNNNNNNNNNNNNNNNNNNNNNNNNNNNNNNNNNNNNNNNNNNNNNNNNNNNNNNNNNNNUAUAUAUAUAUAUAGAAUUGGCUUACACUCACCACAUGCUACAUCAGAGUCACAUCAGUACAAUACAUAAUCAUCAUGAAGAAGAGCAGAGUCCGACUACGGACGAAAACAAACGAGAAAAGAAGAACGACUCCAUCCUUGCUAUCCCAGGCUACUGGCCUGGAACCCAUCCUAGAUCGAUGAAGAAGAAGAAGCAACUCCAAAUGAACACUCAAUGUGCUCGCGUCAAGUACCCUUUACCUAUACCUUCAACUGGUGUUGUAGUAAUCUGUGAGCCACGGGGGACUCAACAAUCUCAUUUCCAAAGGUAUCAAGACUAGCAAAGCUUAAUGGGUGAGGUAAGGUUAAGUGGUGAGGUUGCAACAGCGACUAAGCAUAUAUGAGGUGGCUAAACUUACGAGUACAAGAAAUAAGAGGGGGAAGAUCUACGCAUAACGGACGUGAACUACGAUUGAUCAAAUGAAUGAUCCUGAACACCUACCUACGUCAGACAUAACCCCACCGUGUCCUCGAUCGGAGAAGGAACUCACGAAAGAAACAGUCACGGUUACGCACACAGUUGGCAUAUUUUAAUUAAGUUAACUUCAAGUUAUCUAGAACCCGUGUUAAACAAAGUUUCCACCUUGCCACAUAACCGCGGGCACGGCUUUCUGAAAAGAUUUAACCCUGCACGGGUGCUCCAACUAGUCCAUCACAAAUUACCACAAGCCCCAUAGAAAUCCUCGAUCACGACACUCGCGAUUUCGUGAGAUUCCUUAGUGGUAAAUCUCAACUCUGAGAUUACCCAAAGCAUCACCGGAAUCCCGAUGCACAAGAUAUCUCGUCAAAGUUAAAACUAAUCCAGCAAGGCCGCCCGACGUGUCGACGAUCCCGAUAGGAGCCGCGUAUCUCAUUCUCAGGACACAACGGAUGAGCUAGACAUCGGGAUCGCUAAACCUCUGGGUGACCAGGGGGCGCCAGACAUCACUCAGGUGGGACCAACACUCAUGAGGAGCACUGGCCCAGGGGUUGAUUAAAUUUCCUCGUGUUAAUUACUCCCUAUGCAGUUCAUUAGUUAUUAGGCAAAUGUAGUACCAAAGUUGGUCCUUGCCAAACCAGCUUUAAUCUAAAACGAAUUAUCAAGGGGGUCCCCAUAACAACCCCGAUCGUGUUAGGAGCGCUCAAUUAUGGAACAUAACACCGGUAGCCGAAACUAAGGAGGAAAAGGUGGAACAAAACACCAGGCUAGAAAGGCCGAACCUUCCACCUUUUACCAAGUUUAUAGGUGCAUUAAAUUUAAAUAACAUUAAAUAGGGUGAUAUAACAAGGAACCCAUGUUAUCACAUGGAAGCAACUGCACCUGCAACUAGCAACACUAACAACAUGGUAAAGCAAGCAGUAACAUAGCCAAUCAGUGGUUUGCUAGGUCGAACAGGUUGAAGGUUAUCAUGGCAUUGUUGAGAGGCUGAAAUUUAACAUGUGGUAGGCAACGAGACAUAUUCGAUAGAAGCGAGAAAACUAGCAUGGCAAUGAUUGUAAUGGUAUCUGGGAAAUGGUCAUCUUGCCUGAAAUCCCGCUUGGAAGAAGAACAACUCCGUGACGCAGACGAACCAACGUAGUUGAAUGGAUCCUCACAUUCCGAAACGUUUGUGGAACUCUAUCGAGACGGAGCAAACCAAAAACAAGCAUCAACACAGAUGUUCACCACACGAAGCACAACAUGAUGCACAACCUACUCUGAUGCAUGAUCAGUUCAAUGAUGCAAGGCAUGGCAUGGCAAUUCACCUCACGCAAACACUACACAUUAAGUGAAGCUCGAUAUGCAACGAGUUACAUAUCAACGAAACUCCACGUUUAAUUAUUUAGUUCACUCCCGUUUAUUUACACGCAAUAUUAAAAUGUUGUUAACAUGGCAAGGGGUGAAGCGGGUGAUUCUACAAGUCAUCCUAGUCGGUUAACACACGGGACUUAGAACGGAGCUACGUUAAAAGAAACAUGCAACACAAGAUAUCAUGCCAUGGAUGCGUCAUGCAUGCAAGUUCAUAACAACACAGGCAAGAAGAGAAAGAAGCAUGUGUCGCCACGGCGAGCGAAAGGGAUCCACGGCGGCAAGUCAGAAACGUAGCCACGACAACAUUCCUAUCCCGAUAACUCGAAGAUGUAUCAGUGCCAACGAAUUGUGAGCGUGUGCGGGAACGCUAAAUAAAGAUGGGGUGAUCCCGGUUAUUGGGUUCCCAUGUGUCGGGGGACAACAAAAGAGGAACACGUGCAACGGCAACAUAUGGCGCUUAAAUACGAUACAACUCAUACAUCACAAGCAUUCGGUACAUGACACGUUCCAACGGUAUACCUUCAAAGCGUGCGAAUCAGAGGGGUUUGGUUCGGUGAAGGAGAACAAUGGACGUCGUGGUCGUCGAGGUACUUGGGUCUCGUCGACGGUAGUCGUACUCUUGGCGUCGGUAAACGAGUCUUCGGCGACGGUAGUCGAACACGUUCCAAAGAUGGUUGGGGGUCGUCGAGGACAUCGUGGACUCGGCGAACUUGUCGAUGACCCACGGUGGCGGGGAUGGUCUACGCGGCGACGACAGGCGACACAACAGCAACAUCUAGUAGCUUAGCGGCUGCAGCAACAAGCAGCAAGCUACGACAUGCAGCAACAUCGACAGCAAAACGACAGCCUAGCAAGCAGCAAAACGCAGCAUCAAGCGACAACAUUAGGCAUGGCAAGAAAGCAUAGGCACGCAACAAGCACAUCAAGCAACUAUAGCAGCCUAGCAGCAGCUACAUGCAUCGGCAAGAAGGCAACAACCUAGCAUCAGAAAGCAGCCAGCGGCAACAGCAUGCGGCAACAUCACAAGCAACAUCCAACAACAAUUAACUAUAGCAGCUACUAGCAUCUAUCUAGCAGGCUAGCAAGCAAGCGCAGCAAGCAGCCAGCAUGCAAAAACACAAGCAGCGGCUAUGGCCCAGCAACACCUGGCAGUAGCAAUCGACAAGCAGGAGGAGGCCGGGCAGGGGACUGGAGGUGCGCACGGGGACGGAGGAGGUGCAAGGCGGCUCGAGGUGAGGCACAGGAGGUCGGGGGCGAGGGCGAGCAGCGCGGCACGGGCUCCCUGGAGGCUGUCUCUUAUACACAUCUNNNNNNNNNNNNNNNNNNNNNNNNNNNNNNNNNNNNNNNNNNNNNNNNNNNNNNNNNNNNNNNNNNNNNNNNNNNNNNNNNNNNNNNNNNNNNNNNNNNNNNNNNNNNNNNNNNNNNNNNNNNGGCAGGCGGUCUACAAGCGGCGGCGGGGCAGCACUCUAGCGAGGGGAUCGGGCACGGGACGAUGGCUGAGGAGGGGAUCGGGACGAGGAAGAAACGAGAGGGAGAGAAAGAUGACGACACGGGGAGCAGAGCAAGAAGAGGAUGACGCGCAUGGGAGGCCUUCGCUAGGGCACGACAAGCACAGAUGGGCGUGGGCCGGCUGGGCAGGUCCUCCUCUCCCUCUUGCACUUGGUGUUUUACUUUUUUUUAAAGCAGGAAAACUCAAACAAAAGAAAAGGGUUUAAACAAAAAUAAAAGAAAUAUUUUUUACUCCUUUAAUACAAACCCCAACGAUAAAAUAGAUUGGGCUUUUUUUAAAAGAAAUAAAAUGAAACCUUUUUUAAAGAAUAAAAUAAAACCCUUUUAACAAGCGAAUAAAAUAAACCCCUUUUACCAAUAAAAUGAGACUCUAGUUUUGAAAUAAAGCAAAAGGAAAAAAAUAAAGGAAACCCAAGGGGUUGCCUCCACAUUUAAUAAAAGAUUUUUUCAAAGAAGAUGAACCUUUUUAAAAUAGGGGUUAAAACGGAAACUUUAGCAAAACCACAAAAAUGAAAUAAGAGGGGAGAGAGGGGGAGUUACUAACGCACUUGAAGCACACACACUCAAAACACCACAUGGAACAGAUGAUGCAAGAUGCCAUGCAUGAUGCGACGAUGCAAACUAAAUGAUGAUGCAACAAGUGAAAAUAAUCACACGACUGAAACGGAAAUGAAGGGGGAAUCUUCUGGAACGUUGGUCUCGGGCUGUCACAAUUUCCCCUUGGAAUAGGUAUGUUCUUGACACAAUCGUAGGUGGAAAUUUCUUGGGUAGCCAUACCGUUGAUUCUUACGGUGCCUUAAUAAAUUUGGUAGGCUCACCCCCACUCAUGGUUAAUGGAACUACCUUAACAUUGGAACAUGUGAUGCGUAGGCUGGAUAUCGUUGAAAAUAAAGUUGCUAUGAUUGAACUCAUUGAAAAUUUGGAUAAAAAGAUCCACACUCAAAUCACUCAGUAUGGAUCAAAGGUGGGAAUGACUUUGAAAUAUUUAAAGGAGAGGGAACCCACAGUUAAUGAAAAACUAGGUCAUGAUUCCACUAGAAUUGACAAACUAAGGAUGUUAUAACCAACUUGGGUUCCGCUUUUGCCGUUGUUCAGAACACUCCAAAUUUUGUCCACAAUAAGGCCACCAAGUUUGUUUUUGUUCCUAAAAACAGUGGUGAACCAUCUAGUAAGAGAGAUGAAGAUCUUAAAGUGUUGAGUGUUCACCCUACUUAUGGUUUGAGCACCAAAGACGACGAUACUUCAUUCUAUCGCCUUAUGCCUAGCUAAGGGCGUUAAAAUAACGCUUGUUGGGAGGUAACCCAAUGAAUUUAUCUUUUCUUUUUGCUUUCUGUUUUGUUGUGUCCACACCAUCAUAAUUCUGUUAUUAUUGUGUUUUUUGUGUUUCUUUUUGUGUUUGAGCCAAGUAAAACCUUUAUGACUAGUUUUGGUAAUGGUUUUUUGAUCUUGCUGAAAAAGACAGAAACUUUGCGCUCACGAAAUUAUUUUUAAUUCCUAUCCAGAAAGAUAUUUUGAGUUCAUUCUUUUUGCUUCUGGUUGAUAUGCCAAUUUCCCUAAUUGUCAUAAUUUUUCAGAAUUUGUGAGAUAUCAGAAGUAUACGAAGUAUACAGAUUGCUACAGACUGGUCUGUUUUUGUUGUGUUGAUUGCUUAUUUUGAUGAAACUAUGGAUAGUAUCGGGGAGGUACUAGCCAUGGAAAAUUGAGAAUACAGUAAUGUAACACCAAUAUAAAUAUAAAUCAAGUUUUCUACAGUACCUAAAAAGGUGGUAGUUUGUUUUCUUAUGCUAAUGAUAUCAUCAGUUUCUGUUUAAGUUUUGUGAUGUGAAGUUUUCAAGUUUUGGGUGAUGUUCUCAUGGACAAUUGGAUAAAGAGUGGAAAGAGAUCAAGCUUAGGGAUGCCCAAGGCAUCCCAAGCCAAAUUCAAGGACACCAAAAAGCCUAAGCUUGGGGAUGCCCCGGGAAGGCAUCCCCUCUUUCGUCUUCAAUCCAUCGGCAACGUUACUUGGAGCUAUAUUUUUAUUCAUCACAUGAUAUGUGUUUUGCUUGGAGCGUCUUGUAUCAUAGGAGUCUUUUCUUUUUUUUGUGUCACAAUCAUCCUUGUUGCACACCUUUUUGAGAGAGAUAUGCACUCAUCGUGAUUUUGCUAGAAUACUCAUUGAGCUUCGCUUAUAUCUUUUGAGUUUGGCAAUUUAGCUCGCAUGUGCUUCACUUAUAUCUUUUGAGCUAGAUAAAUUUGCUCUAGUGCUUCACUUAGAUAUUUUUAGAGCACGACGGUGUCAUAUUUGGGAUAAAUAAGAACUCUCGAUCUUCACUUAUAUCUUUUUGAGAGUGCUCUUUCUAAGUAACUUGGUAAUUGGCUUGUGCUAUGAAAGUAGUCCUAAAGAUGAUAGGCAUCCAAAGAGGAUAUAAUAAAAACUUCCAUAUUCAUGUGCUUUGAUUGUAAAGAGAAGUUUGAUUCCUCUCAAUUAGUUUCGAGACAUGGAUUUGGUAAUAUUGUAGUUAUGUUAGUAGGGUGUCGUGAAUCUAGAAAUACUUGUGUUGAAGUUGGUGAUUCCCGUAGCAUGCACGUAUGGUGAACCGCUAGUUAGGAAGUCGCAGCAUAAUUGAUUUAUUGAUUGUCCUACUUUGUGUGGUGGUCGGGGUCGCGCGAUGGUUAACACCUACCAACCCUUCCCCUAGGAGUAUGUGUUUAGCACUUUAUUUCGAUUACUAAUAAAACUUUCGCAAUAAGUAUAUGCGUUCUUCAUGACUAAUGUGAGUCCAUGGUAUAUAUGCACUUUCACCUUCCACCAUUGCUAGCCUCUCUAGUACCGCGCAACUUUCGCCGGUGCACAAACCCACCAUAUACCUUCCUCAAAACAGCCACCAUACCUACCUAUUAUGGCUGCACAAACCCACCAUAUACCUUCCUCAAAACAGCCACCAUACCUACCUAUUAUGGCAUUUUCAUAGCCAUUCCGAGAUAUAUUGCCAUGCAACUCCCACCGUUCCGUCUUAUGACUUGUGCCAACACUUUCAUAUUUCCAUUGCCUGAUUGUAAGAUAGCUAGCAAGAUGUUUCAACGUCAUACGCUAAGCUAGAUCGUUGCACAUCCCAGUACACUGCCGGAGGCAUUUCCUUUAGAGUCAUGAUUGCUCUAAGUGUUGAGUUGUGAGUAAAUAAAAGUGUGAUGAUCAUCAUUAUUAGAGCAUUGUCCCGUGUGAGGAAAAAUGAAAAGAGGCCAAAGUUGCCCACACAAAAAAUGAAAAGAGGCCAAAGGGCCCAAACAAAAAAAAUGUGAGAAAAAGAGAGAAGGCACAAUGCUACUAUCUUUUUCCACACUUGUGCUUCAUAAUAGGACCAUGUUCUUCAUGAUAGAGAGUCUCUCGUUUUGACACUUCCAUAUUCUAGUGGGAAUUUUCAUUAUAUAACUUGGGUUGUAUAUUCCAAUGACGGGCUUCCUCAAAAUUGCCCUAGGUCUUCAUGAGCAAGCAAGUUGGGUGCACACCCACUAGUUUUCCGCUUGAGCUUUCACACACUUAUAGCUCUAAGUGCAUCCGUAGCAUGGUAAUACCUACUCAUUAACAUUGAUAUCUAUUGAUGGGGAUCUCCAUAGCCCGUUGAUACGCCGAGUCGAUGUGACCAUCUCCUCCUUUUUGCCUCACAACCUCCACCACACUCUAUUUCACCUAUAGUGCUAUAUCCAUGGCUCACGCUCAUAUAUUGCGUGAGAGUUGAAAAAGUUUGAGAAAGUAAGAGUGCGAAAACAAUUACUUGGCAAAUACCGGGGUUGUGCAUGAUUUAAAUUCGUUGUGUGGGGAUGAUGGAGCAUCGCCAGACUAUAUGAUUUUGUAGGGAUAACUUUCUUUGGCCUUGUUAUUUCAAAAGUUCAUGAUUACCUUGCUAGUUUGCUUGAAGUAUUAUUGUUUUCAUGUCAAUAGAAAACCAUUGUUUUGAAUCUUACGGAUCUGAACAUUCAUGUCACAUGAAAGAAGUUGCAAAGGAAAAAUUUGUUAGGUAGCAUUCCACAUCAAAUUUUUUUACUUCCUUACUCGAGGACAAGCACGAGUUAAGCUUGGGGAUGCUUGAUACGUCUCCGACGUAUCUAUAAUUUUUUAUGGUUUCGUGCUAUUAUCUUGUCAACUUUGGAUGUUUUGUAUACAUUUUAUAUCUUUUUUGGGACUAACCUAUUAACUCAGUGCCAAGUGCCAGUUCCUGUUUUUUCUGUGUUUUUGACCCUUUUCAGAGAAGAAUAUUAAAGGGAGUCCAAACGGAAUAAAAUCUUCGAAAUGAUUUUUUUUCGUAACAGAAGAUACGCAGGGAAUUUGAGAACCAAGGCAAAGAGUCCCGGGGGAGGCAACAAACCACCUAGCCACAGCCUGGGGGGUGGGGCGCCUACCAGGCUUGUGGGCCCCCCGUGGCUCCUUUGCCCUACUUCUUCCGCCUAUAAAUUCCGUAAAAAUACGAAACCACGGGACAGAGCCACGAAAAUACUUUUCCGUUCUGGUGCCCUGCCGGAUGGGGGAUUUGAACACGGAGGGCUUCUUCAUCAACACCAUUGCCUCUCCGAUGAUGUGUGAGUAGUUCACCACAGACCUUCGGGUCCAUAGCUAGUAGCUAGAUGGCUUCUUCUCUCUCUUGGAUCUUCAAUACAAAGUUCUCCAUGAUCUUCAUGGAGAUCUAUCCGAUGUAAUCUUCUUUUGCGAUGUGUUUGUCGAGAUCCGAUGAAUUGUGUAUUUAUGAUCAAAUUAUCUAUGAAUAUUAUUUGAGUCUCCUCUGAUCUCUUAUAUGCAUGAUUUAGUAUCCUUGUAAUUCUCUUCGAGUUGUGGGUUUCGUUUGGCCAACUUGAUCAAUAAUUCUUGCAAUGGGAGAAGUGUUCGGUUUUGGGUUCAUACCGUGCGGUGUCCUCACCCAGUGACAGAAGGGGUAGCGAGGCACGCAUCGGGUUGUUGCCAUCAAGGGUAAAAAGAUGGGUUUAUAUCUAUUGCAUGAAUUUAUCCCUCUACAUCAUGUCAUCUUGCUUAAGGUGUUGCUCUGUUCGUUAUGAACUCAAUACACUAGAUGCAUGCUAGAUAGCGAUCGAUGUGUGGAGUAAUAGUAGUAGAUGCAGACAGUAUCGGUCUACUUGUCUCGGCCGUGAUGCCCAUAUGUAUGAUCAUUGCCUUAGAUAUCAUCAUGACUUUGCGCUAUUCUAUCAAUUGCUCGACAGUAAUUCGUUCACCCACCAUAAUACUUGCUAUCAUGAGAGAAACCUCUAGUGAACACUAUGGCCCCCGGGUCUACUUCACUUCAUAUUUUCAGCUCUACACUUUUACUUUGUUCCACUUUCCGCCUUUAGAUCUCACCUUGCAAUCAAUCGUGAAGGGAUUGACAACCCCUUUAUAGCGUUGGGUGCAAGUUUGUUUGUUUUUGUGUAGGUACAUUGGAGACUUGCCUUGAUACUCCUACUGGAUUGAUACCUUGGUUCUCAAACUGAGGGAAAUACUUACUGGUAUUGUGCUGCAUCACCCUUUCCUCUUCAAGGGAAAAACCAAUGCAAGCUCAAGAGGUAGCAUGACCCAAUAGUUAGUUUCGGCCUGUAGGAUUUUUAUUAAUUCUGGUGAAUUUAUUAAUUUCAGUAAAAUGCAAUAUUUUUAAAUGCCCAUAAAUCUUAAACCGUGCGUCGGAUUGCGACAAGUUAUAGAUGUAACUUGGCUAGAAUUUCGCAUAGAUUAAUAUUUUACAACUUGCAUGCAUGUUUGAAGUUGUUUGACCUGCGUUUUGCAUAGAUUUGUGUGCUGUCCUAUUAGGUUAAUUAUUCCGUAGAUAAUUAUGCGUGCAUCCAUUUUGCUCGAAGCCCGUAGGUAAAAUGUCCAUGUUGUUGCAACCCCUUGCCAUGUAUUUUAGAAAUAGUUGUCCUGCCAUUUUCAUGUAGGUGGCAUCAAUAGUUUGCUAUGUCGUGUUUAGGACAUAUUCUCGCAUAUAUCUGUGGCAUUAGUUUUAUUUUUCACCCUACAUAUUAUAUAUGUUUUAGGGGUAGAAAUUUUUUUAGAAUUUAACUGUGCAUUUAGUUUUGUCUUCCAAGUAAGUUAGCUUGCAUGAUAUUUUUCCAUGAUGACUUUUGUUUAUUUUGAGGGAUUUUAUUCCGUGCGUGAUAUGAUUUACUUGUGAACUAGAGAUAUGUCCUUGGACAUGCAUGUUAGCCCCUGGUAAUUUUGGUUGCUAUAGAAAUCCAUAUUUAGGUGUUGUUUUCUUGUCGCCAACAUGCUAGAAAAUAGUGUUGUUUAGAGAUCUACUGCCAAUAUGCCUUCUGGUUGUCAAUAUGCCUUCUGGUUGAAAACUACACUGUCAAAAGUGUUAUUUUCACUAAGUCUGAAACUAUGUGCUAGUUGCCAUUUUGUGAGUUCUUUUUCGUAGUGAUCCAUGCUUCCAUGCUAGUUGUUUUUAGCAGGGGGUUGUUGUGCAACUUGACCACUACUGCCUCAUGUCUUGUUUGAGGAUUUUAAAAUUUUGUAGCUUGCUGUUGUAGGGUGUAGAUAAUGUCAUGUUGUUGUUUUGGGAAGAUUGUAGCUAUUUCUUGUUUAGCUUGUUUUGUUUAACCGUUGAUCCGUUUUGAUCAUGUACUAUAUGAACUUGCUUAGAAUCUUGUGUAGGUUCAUAUUAUCUUGCUGCUUGUAUGGUAAGGAGUGCUUGUGUCUGUCAUCGGCAUACAUAUUGCAUUCAUGGCAUCAUAUCUUGCAGUGAUCAUUUCUUUUGAACCGUAGCUCUGAUAAAAUGAGCUAUAUGUGUAAACCGAAUAGAAUGACAUGUAGAAUCACAUGCUUCACCUCUUGCCAUGUUUAACAACAUUUAAUAUUGCCGCAUAAAUAAACGGGAGUGAACUAAAUAAUUAAAUGUGGAGUUUCGUCAAUAUGCAACUUGUUGCAUAUUGAGCUCCACUUAAUGUGUAGUGUUUGCGUGAUGUGAAUUGUCGUGCCAUGCCUUGCAUAUUUGAAACUGCUCACGCAUCAUAUCUGUUAUGCAUCAUGUCGUGCAUGUGCUGUGGUGAAUAUCGUGUGUUGAUACUUGUUUUUGGUUUGCUUCGUCUCGAUAGAGUUCCGCAAGCGUGUCGAAAUGUGAGGAUCCGUUCAACUACUUCGGUUUGUCUGCUUCACGAAGUCGUUUUUCUUCCAAGAGGGAUCUCAGGCAAGAUGAACAUUUUCCCAAAUAUCAUUACUAUCAUUGCCAUGCUAGUUGUUUCGUUUCUAACGUUAUGUCUUGCUGCCUACCACCUGUUAAAUAUCAGCCUCCCAACAAUGCCAUGAAAUACCUUCAACCUUUCCACAACCUAGCAAACCACUGAUUGGCUAUGUUACCGGUGGCUUAACCAUUGGAUAGCGUUGCUAGUUGCACAUGCAGUUGCUUCCAUGUGAUAACAUGGGUUCCUUGUCAUAUCACCAUAUUAAUGUUAUUUAAUUAACACACCUAUAUACUUGGCAAAAGGUGGAAGGCUCGGCCUUGCUAGCCUGGUGUGUUGUUCCACCUUUGCCGCCUUAGUUUUGGCUACCGGUGUUAUGUUCCAUAAAUAGCGCUCCUAACAUGCUUGGGCUUGUUAUGGGGACCCCCUAGAUUCUCGCUUUGGGAUAAAGCUCGUCUGGCAAGGCCCAACAUUGGUACUAUUUGCUUAAUAACAAACUAAAAUAUGCAUAGGGUUUGAUCACCCCGUGGAUAAUUAAUCAACCUCCUGGUCUAGUGCUAUGCAUGAAUGUUGGUCCAACCAGUCAACCGCCGGUGGCCACCAGGGGCAACUAUGUGAUUUGCCUACCGGAAGUUUGAACAAUCAGUCGUGUCCUGAGAACAAGAUAUGCGGCUCCUAUCGGGAUCAUCGACACGUUGGGCGGCCUUGCUGGACUUGUUUUACCUUUCUCGAGCGUCUUGUGCGAGGGAUUACGAGGAUACUUUGGGCUAUCCGGAGGUCGAGGUUUUCCAAUAGGAACCCGAGGAGAUCACGGGUUUCCGUGAUCGAGGUCAUUCCGCCGCAGCGUGUGGUAGUUUGUGAUGGACUAGUUGGAGCACCCCUCUAGGGUGAAAUCUUUUGGAAAUCCUUGCUCGUAGUUAUGUGGCAACGUGGAAACUUUGUUUAACAUCCAGUUCUAGAUAACUUGAAGUAAGCUUAAUUAAAACUUGUCAACUGAGUGUGUAACCGUGACUUUCUCUUUCCUGAGGUCCUUCUCCGAUCAAGGACACGAUGGGGUCGUGUAUGAUGUAAGUAGGUGUUCAGGAUCAUUCUUUUGAUCAUUAUUAGUUCACGUCUGGUUAUGCGUAGAUCACCCCCCUCUUUGAUUCUUGCACUCGUAAGUUAGCCACCUCAAAUAAAUUCUUAGUCACGUGCUGCAGCCUCACCACUUAACCAUAUCUCACCCAUUAAGCUUUGCUAGUAUUGAUACCUUUGGAAAUGAGAUUGUUGAGUCCCUAUGGCUCACAGAUUACUACAACACCAGUUGCGGGUACAGGUAAAUAUUUAGUUUGACGUGAGCGUGCUGAUUGUGCUAUUUGGUGUUCCUUCUUCUUCUUCUUCAUCAAUCUAGGAUGGGUUCCAGGCCAACAGCCUGGGAUAGCAAGGAUGGACGUCGUUCUUUCAUUGUUUGUUUUUUGUACGUAGUCGGACCCUGCUCUUCUUCAUGAUGAUUGUCUGUAUUGUAAUGAUGUGAGUUUGAUGUAGCUUGUGGUGAGUGUAAGCCAACUCCUUGUACUCAUCUUUUCAGUACAUGUAGUUGUAACGAUACCCAUUCUUACGAAACGACGAGAUGCGUUUCUAUCCCUGACGAGGCCUUCGCGCCAAAAUAAGGAUAGGACCGCAUCUUGGGCGUUACAAGUUGGUAUCACAUCAGUACCGACCUAGGAGUCCCCUUGAUUGAUCGAACUUGGCCGAGUCGAGUCUAGUGAAAAAUUACUUUGAGUCUAGUUAUAUAUGGAGAGUAGGAUUCUUUUUUUCCUCUUCCAUGCUCCGGUGAGGAAUCUUGAUGUAAAUUUUUUAAUUCUACUCCUCUUCUCACUCAAUUUUUUUAGGAUCACGUGGAUAUUUUUGGAAUCUAUAUGAUAUCGAUGUGACGAAGUUCUGACUUGGUGCCUCCUGCUGUGUUGAUUUUAUUCCAGGGAGUUGAGCUCUAGGGGAUUCCUGAGCACACCGUUAUCAUUCAGAUUUCUUAGUAUCUCACGACGGAGAAUGUUCAAACUUCCUUCAAUACUAGUAGUGGCGAGAUAACCCCGACAUCCUCAGUACUGGUGCACAGAGUCCGGGGGUACUGCCAUACUUAGUAUCGUUGUGUUUUCGAGGUUCUGAGUUAGAUGAGUUUCCGAGAUCUCUGGUUAUGUGUUGACGGAUGUGAUACACUGGACGGGUAGUGUUAUUGCUAGGAGUUGAGUGAUGGAUUUUACUCCUUGUAUUCGUGGACCCGAUUGCAUGACCAGAAAUUUUGGGAGUUCUUAGGUGGGAAUUCAAGUAGUUACUUAUAGGACAAUCUUCCAACAGAUGCAUGAUGUGAGGUUAGGGUUCGACAUCUAGUGGAUUCGUUUGUUCACGGUCGUCUUACAGCGGUGCUCGUUGUGUCUUAAAGAGUCCUUGUAGCUUGCUACGACUCGGGGACACUUCGUAUGUCGUGUGCGCUGCCUUGUACAUGAUGGCUAUUGUAGGAUCGAGCCCGUGCGAUCCUAUCCACGGAAAUAUCAUACGAAGUCUCUGUCAUGAAUUUGUUUCGGCUUGUGUCGUAAGCCUCAUCCUUUGUUUUGUUGGAGUAUGGUAAUUCGAGUUGUUUUGAUGUCAAGUGGUGAAUUCAUAUCUUUCCAAGUGGUGUUCUUGUAUUUUCAUGGGAAUGCAAAUUCUUUUGCUCAAUCUAGUUGUGUUAUCAAUUCUUCUCAACCGGAGUCAUCGUGUCAAUUCUUUUUCAUCCGGUGUGCUUUUCUUCAAGUUAAUUCUAUCCUUCUCAAGAUCUGCAAGAUCAAUCUCUCAUUUCUUUCCGGAGUUUGUCUCAUCUGUCCUAGUUGUCUUGUUUUCCCCGCCCUCCCUCCCCUUUUUCUUUAGUGUUUCAAUUAUCAUCCAAAUAUCUUCCUUUCAUUAUUGCUUCCACUAUCUCUUCUUUUCUUUUGUUCCAGUGAUUCUUUGUGAAGAUUCUCAAGAGUCCUGAGUUCAUCAUUUUUUCAUUCUUGUUAUCUUUUCCAGUGAAUUCAAUUCAAGCUCUCUCUGUUCAUCAUAUCAUUUUCAUCCUUUAAAUUAUUUCCCAUGUUGAAAAUUCUUAUCAAGUCUUUCUUGUUGUCAUCUCUCUCUAUUCUAUCCGGAGAGCUGAAGAUAUCUCUGGAGUUUCUUGUUUUCAUUUCUUUCAGUUAUUUCGAGGGUCUCACCUCAUCAAGCUUUCAUUGGUGCCGGUGCAAUAUCUGUGUUUUCGAGCAAUCCAUUAAACAAUGUUUUAUUUUGAGUGGGCCCAUAACCCGCAUGUUUCUUCCACGAUCUUAUCUGGAUCUUCUAAUCUUUUCCCGGAGAUCUCUAAUUCUUUUUAAAUAUGACGUAAGAAUGGAUUCCAUUAGUCAUGUUCAUUCUCCAAGAUUGCUUCGAAUUAUUUUUCAUCAUUGGCUCACCUUUUCAAAUUCUUAUUCUAGAGUGUCUUAGUUACCAUUGGUGGUGUUUCUUGCCAUCGUUCUCAGUUUGUGAACAUCGAAGGAGUGUUUUUAUCAAAUCUUGCUCCAUUCUUUUGAAGAUUUUCAUCUCAGCUUCGUGUUAUCUUCUCAAUUGUUGUCAAUAAUGAGUAAUCCCUUUCUUCCUAUCCGGUGCAUUUCAGAUUGUUUUCAUUCUCGAUCCUCUGAAGGCUGUCAUUUUAGAAGAUUUCUCCGCUCUCAGCUUUCAACUUUCAUUCUCAAAUUCUUCUCAAUUGUUGUCUCUUCAUUCGUCUCUCAAUUAUUCUGGUGCCUUGUUGAAGUUUUCUGUUAGGCGGUUUCAAGAUCUCUUCGUUUCCCAUGUUUUCCAUCUAUUUCUAUAUCCCCAUAUUAUGUAAAUUCUUCAGGUUGAUCAUGAUCCCUUCGUUCUCAUGUUUCUUCAUUCAUUCAUGUUAUUCCCAUUCAUUUGCAAUUCUUGUUGGUGGUUCAUUCAAGAUUUCUUCUAGUUUGUGCUCAUAUCUCUCCUCAAUAUUUUCAAGAAGAAUAAGUGGUAUGCUAAAUCCAUUUCUUGUCAUCAAUAUAACUUGAUGAAGGAUAAGCAUAACAUAAUUCUUAUUCUUGUUUCAUAGUGAUUUCAAUUCUUUUUAUGGAGUGGCUCAUGAUAUCAAAUUCUUUCUCUCAUGUGUUCUUUCUCUUGCAUUUCGAAGAGCAAGUCUUCCUCCUUUAUCCAUCGAGGUGGUGUUAUAGCGUUCUUGUUAGUGGAGGAGUCUCGAAGGGAAGUUGUUUCAAGAAUUAAAUAUGUAAACCCACCGAUUCUAUGAUCAUGAGAUAUUUUCAAACCCAUGGUUUCUUUAUUGAUCUAUCUUGGUUUAAAUUUCACCUAAAGCCUUUCCUAAGGAUUCUUGCUAUUAUGGUGAUAUCGUUGAUCCAAGUUCUCAAUAUAUCCUCUCCGUGUAAGAAGUUUUGCCUUUCUUGUUGCAUCCAAUCAAUCCUUGUUUUUGUUAGUGAUUGGUUGUCAACUCGUUAUUUGACAUGGUUAUCAUAAGUCCACAACAAGCUUGUUCUUUCGUUGUUGGUUUUCCAAAAACUCCGUUCUAUCCUUCUUGUAAGAUGCUUCUCAAAUUCAAUUGUGGUAGAAGUUUCCAUUUUCUUCUCCAUUCUCUUCUUCCCAAUGAUCUAGUUUCUAUUCUUUUAUUCCGGAGGCAUUCUGAUGUUGCUCUUUUGCAUCAAUCAUCUUGUUCUAUCAAGAUCAUGUUCUCUCAUUGCUUAUUCAACGUAGUUAUUUUGUUGUGCAUCUUCUCAAGAUCUUUCCAUCUUUUCAAUUUUUGUCCCCUUUUCCUACUGAAGUGCUGCCGAAAUUUUGUUUGAAUUGUUGCUUGUUCCUCAUGUCAUUCUUCAUCCCUUGCAACCUUCAAGUAUCGCUGGUUUCACUCAUUUAUCAAAGAAGCAACUAAGUUUUACAUCUUGCUUUCUCAUCCUCUUCCCCUCUUCAUUCUUAGAUCUCGGGGCGAGAUCUCUUGUUAGUGUAGAAGAGUUGUGACACCCCGAGACCGAUUCUCCAGAAGAUUCCCCUUUUAUUCCAUUGUCACCGGGUUAAUAUUUGUUUGUUCCAUUCAUCUCGCAUCAUUCGCAUCAUCCGCAUUGCAUCGGCACUCCGUUGCUGCCAAUUUUCAAUACUUGCAUCCAUUAGUAGUCUCUAGUUCUCUCCGUUUUUGUCGUUGACCGUUUUGAGCCCGACCACACACGCACACGCCCGCGACAUUGAUAAAAAUAUGGUUUUUAAAAGUGCAUAUAAAUUUUUCUCUGAUUUGGUUGAAACUUGGCGCGCGGUCUUAUUUUAAUGUAGAUAGGCCUCCUGCCAAACAUUACAAGAAAUAAUGUCAAUUAUGACUCCCUAUAUUGGUCAUUGAUUCAUCAUUAUUGUUGUUUAUUGACCUUUUUUGACCAAAUUUACAAGGUCAACAGUUGGCCGUCAAGAAUGAACAAACUUGACCUUUCUAAAAUUUUGGUCAUAGAUCUCUAUUGACCAAAAUUUUGGUUUGGUCAUUACCUAUUUGUGUGAGUCACGUAGGAUCUGACGUGGCUGUGCUGACAUGGCACUGCUACUGACCAAAUGAAAUCAUCAUAAAUUUCACAGCCCAAUUCAAUAAUCUAGUCUACAUGAGCCUCCACCAAUACUAUUUUAUUAUUAAAAAUGUAUAAAUUAUUUAGGCUGAUGCAUUAUUUUACCAAAAGCAUGUAUAUCUCAGGAUAGACCCAUUAAAAACAAGUACACAAGAAUAAAAUAUUGCAAAUUAGUUGUAUAUAUUACAUUUCAAUAACACCAUCACAUAAAUUACAAUACAUCAUCCAUCGACUCCUCUACACAUAAAGGUUCAAGACCCAACAAGUGCACAACAAUAUAAUUCUACAAGUGCAUAAUCACACAUCAACAUAGUUCGACAAAGAUUGGAUGAGAAGCACAAGUUUUUGUUGAUCACACAUAACAUCAAUGAUAAACGAAGCUUCUUGUUCCCUCCUCCCGUCAUGUCCUCUACUUCUUGUUAACAUACAGUUUUGAUCAAGUAUAUAGUAUGCACUUCAUUUGCAUAUUAUCUACGUACCCUUGAUGUUCGUGCAUGCUUGGUGGAACAGGGAGAUUGCUCAUCACAAAUCCAUCCUGAAGAAUAUAUCCCUUAGCAGCAAUCUGCGUUCUUGUUUUUUCUGAGAUCUUCUCCAUUAUUUUCUGAACCUAGGAAACAGAAGAACAAAAUGUUAGUACUUCUAGCACCUAUUAAUUCUUGAAGUCUAUACUUAUACUAAUUAGGCACUCUCUAAAAAUUACCACAUUAAUCAGUAAUUAUGAAUCGUUAAUCUGGUGGGGCCAAAUAAUAAUGUAUCAGAUCAGCCCGUAUGAUUAUAGCUUGAAAGUUUUCUCAUUACAGAAAAAAUGGUCCAAGGCACAAUUCUUUUCUGUUCUUUGUAAAAACGAAUCCACCUAAGACAAGAUUACAGUUCGAAAGAGUUAAGCCUACUCGCCGUAAAGGUAUAGGCAAAGACUGGAACAACUAAUAUAAACUCUUUCCUACACGCAUUGCACGACACAUUUUUUAUUACUUCAUAACUGAAACAGAGGAUGGUCGAUGUCAUGGAUAAAUGAAAUAACUACAUAAAAAUGAAUUCUAGUGAAGGAGAAAAAAAAUAGGAUGAACUCACCGGAAAUAGAGGAGGACCAGCCUGAUGCGCCCUUGCAAGGCUGCACCCAAUUGCUCCUCGAGAAUGACACUGAUAUGACCCUUCUCGAACAUGUCGUAGAAGGAUUGGGGCUUCCUCUGCUCAUUCCAUUGAUGCAUAUCCCACAUACCAAUAGCAACCAGCAUAAGAUGAUUAAGCACAAUGGCUCGGUUGAACUAUAUAAUGUCAGCAAAAGGUGCAGAAAGAAAAACAAUUAAAGGAUGAAACCAAAAUCAUCUAUGUUUUCUGUUGCUUGAAGGAAGAGUACUCUCUCGGGCAAAAGACAUUCCAUUCUCACCAAAUCAAACUAUUUAAAAAGGGCCUUAGAUAUUAGCAAAAAUCUACUAUGAUUCUAAUUAUAUCUAAAUGUACUCAACAAAAGACCAAAAUAAAAAUAGAAUGAAGGUGUAAGUUUACCACAUCCAAGAAAUAAUUGGCUACAUUAUAGUACUUAAAUUGGAUCCUCUCGACAACAUAUACGCAUCAAUACAGAGGUAGCUUGAAACUGUAGCCAUUCAAAGCAGAGUGAUAUAAUGAAGUGAAAAUAAAGAUUAGUAUAAUUAGUGCAGGUUCAGGACUACGGUUCAGGACUAAGCUCACAGUUCUUUCAACAAAAAGGAAAGCAGGGAAGUGAGUUUGGUAGAGCUAGUGCACACAUCCUGAGUAUACAAAGCAAUGAUAUGACAACACAUAUCCUGCUCUUAUCCUCGGUAUACAAAGUAGUGAUAUGUGUCUAAGUAUAUAUUUUUCGCCAUGGUUUCCAGAAUAGGUGUGAAAAAAUAUAUGACAACACCCAUCCGGGGUAUACAAAGCAAUGAGACAACAAUAAGCGGGACACAAGGUAUAAAUACAACAAGCAACAAUAAGUAAUAGUAAGGAAGAAAGGACACAACACACGGAACACACACAAUUCAGUAAAAUACUGCAUAUGAAAUGAGCAAAAGUAAAGAAGGAUGAAGGAGGAAGACAUUACCUUGGCAAGACGAAAGUGAGCACACAAGGCGUCGGGCCAGCUAAACUGUAGGCGUCGGGCCAACUAAACUGCAGCAUGAUCUAGAACACGGAAAAAAAUAAAUUGCCGGAGAAGACAACUUGGUAGUAGAAGCAACUAAAUCAGAACACACACAAACUUUCCUUGUACUGAGUAAUGCGUACAAUAUCUUUUUAUUUAAGGAACAGCUAAAAGAGACUACAAGAUAAUCAAC